RNAcentral lists this ribosomal RNA (301 nucleotides) under uncultured bacterium. RNAcentral's name for it is "partial 16S ribosomal RNA". It matches the Rfam family "Bacterial small subunit ribosomal RNA", at positions 509 to 807 of the family's 1533-position model. The record is from RNAcentral.
CAGUAGCCACGGUAAUACGUAGGUGGCAAGCGUUGUCCGGAAUUAUUGGGCGUAAAGGGCUCGCAGGCGGUUUCUUAAGUCUGAUGUGAAAGCCCCCGGCUCAACCGGGGAGGGUCAUUGGAAACUGGGAAACUUGAGUGCAGAAGAGGAGAGUGGAAUUCCACGUGUAGCGGUGAAAUGCGUAGAGAUGUGGAGGAACACCAGUGGCGAAGGCGACUCUCUGGUCUGUAACUGACGCUGAGGAGCGAAAGCGUGGGGAGCGAACAGGAUUAGAUACCCCGGUAGUCCCUGUCUCUUAUAC